RNAcentral lists this ribosomal RNA (302 nucleotides) under uncultured bacterium. RNAcentral's name for it is "bacterial SSU rRNA". It matches the Rfam family "Bacterial small subunit ribosomal RNA", at positions 30 to 334 of the family's 1533-position model. The record is from RNAcentral.
AUUGAACGCUAGCGGGAUGCCUUACACAUGCAAGUCGAACGGUAACAGGUCUUCGGACGCUGACGAGUGGCGAACGGGUGAGUAAUACAUCGGAACGUGCCCAGUCGUGGGGGAUAACUACUCGAAAGAGUAGCUAAUACCGCAUACGAUCUGAGGAUGAAAGCGGGGGACCUUCGGGCCUCGCGCGAUUGGAGCGGCCGAUGGCAGAUUAGGUAGUUGGUGGGAUAAAAGCUUACCAAGCCGACGAUCUGUAGCUGGUCUGAGAGGACGACCAGCCACACUGGGACUGAGACACGGCCCAG